Molecule: long non-coding RNA, 449 nt
Filed under: Sorghum bicolor (sorghum)
Lineage: Eukaryota; Viridiplantae; Streptophyta; Magnoliopsida; Poales; Poaceae
Description: long non-coding RNA (SBIC_LNC011587)
Source: RNAcentral
GGGGGAGAAGGCGAUGUCGGAGGACCCGUACAUGAGGUCGUCGCUGACGGUGGAGACGAGACGCGAUGCGAAGACAUGGUCGUGCGUGCGCAUGGUCGUCUCCGCGGCCUGCGGGGAUGAGACGAUGAGAGUGGUGGCGGCGCCGAGAUGGAGGAGCAUGAGGCCGUCGCGGCCAUGCUUGGCGGAGAGGUCACGGAGGGUGAUGUGCGGGAGGUCGCCGCCGAUGAGGUGAAGGUGGCCGAUGAUGGGAAGCCCCGGAGGCGAAGGCGGAAGCUGCUGCUGCUGCUGCUUGUCGUCGCUGCAGCUGCUGCUGCCAUGACGACGGCGGUCUGACCUUGACCGUCGGGAGGAGUAGUAGUGAAGCAGGAGCAGGAGAGGAACGAGGAGCAAUAGGAGCCAUUGUGCCAGGACUAACGAUGAAGAGGUGAGUUGGAAUGCCACCUCCAGGU